Molecule: ribosomal RNA, 426 nt
Filed under: Giardia duodenalis
Lineage: Eukaryota; Fornicata; Diplomonadida; Hexamitidae
Description: SSU rRNA
Source: RNAcentral
GACGCUCUCCCCAAGGACACAAGCCAUGCAUGCCCGCACACCCGGGAAGCGGCGGACGGCUCAGGACAACGGUUGCACCCCCCGCGGCGGUCCCUGCUAGCCGGACACCGCUGGCAACCCGGCGCCAAGACGUGCGCGCAAGUGCGGACGCCCGCGGGCGAGCAGCGUGACGCAGCGACGGCCCGCCCGGGCUUCCGGGGCAUCAUCCGGUCGGACGCUCUCCCCAAGGACACAAGCCAUGCAUGCCCGCACACCCGGGAAGCGGCGGACGGCUCAGGACAACGGUUGCACCCCCCGCGGCGGUCCCUGCUAGCCGGACACCGCUGGCAACCCGGCGCCAAGACGUGCGCGCAAGUGCGGACGCCCGCGGGCGAGCAGCGUGACGCAGCGACGGCCCGCCCGGGCUUCCGGGGCAUCAUCCGGUCG